GUCAAUUACACUUAUAAACCAAACAUGGGCUAUUCAACUAUCCAAAACACAGCCACAAACUGCCUUUUUAAUGAAUCCAUUUGGCUUUCCAAUCAGCAAGACGCAUGUAAUUCGGGUUCACUGAUAAGUAUUUCCGACCUUCGCAAAAUCAAUGUCACUGCAGAUAAUGCUGCAAUGGUUGCUGACGCCUUACUUGCACUGUCAGGAAACACUGCUGUCCU
Callorhinchus milii (elephant shark) is the source of this 221-nucleotide long non-coding RNA. RefSeq lists it as uncharacterized. Lineage: Eukaryota; Metazoa; Chordata; Chondrichthyes; Chimaeriformes; Callorhinchidae. The transcript is spliced from 3 exons. The record is from RefSeq and is a predicted model, not a curated record.